UUUCCCAUUUGACUACCACACUUUCUCCUGAUAGAGCUUAGUGGCUAUGCUUAUGGGAGAGAUCAAAGGUGCCAUGAUCUGAGGAGGGGGAGCUGCUCCCUGUCUUCCCUCUCUAUAUGAAAUGGCUGAACAGAAAACC
This is a non-coding RNA of Arvicanthis niloticus (Nile rat), 139 nucleotides long. The record is from RefSeq and is a predicted model, not a curated record. Lineage: Eukaryota; Metazoa; Chordata; Mammalia; Rodentia; Muridae.